Molecule: ribosomal RNA, 258 nt
Filed under: uncultured bacterium
Lineage: Bacteria
Description: partial 16S ribosomal RNA
Rfam family: Bacterial small subunit ribosomal RNA
Source: RNAcentral
UGGCGGACGGGUGAGUAACGCGUGGGGAACCUGCCCUGUACAGGGGGAUAACACUUAGAAAUAGGUGCUAAUACCGCAUAAGCGCACAGUAUCGCAUGAUACAGUGUGAAAAACUCCGGUGGUGUAAGAUGGACCCGCGUCUGAUUAGCUUGUUGGCGGGGUAACGGCCCACCAAGGCGACGAUCAGUAGCCGGCCUGAGAGGGCGGACGGCCACAUUGGGACUGAGACACGGCCCAGACUCCUACGGAAGGCAGCAG